GAUGAACGUUGGCGGCGUGCCUAACACAUGCAAGUCGAACGGAAAUAGCAAUAUUUGAGUGGCGCACGGGUGAGUAACACGUAGCUAAUCUACCUCAAAGCGCGGGAUAACGUGUCGAAAGACAGGCUAAUACCGCAUAAGCUCGCGACCUGUAGAGGGUUGCGAGAAAAGGCGCAAGUCACUUUGAGAUGAGGCUGCGGCCCAUCAGCUAGUUGGGGUGGUAAAAGCACACCAAGGCGACGACGGGUAGGGGACCUGAGAGGGUGACCCCCCACACUGGGACUGAGACACGGCCCAGACUCUUACGGGAGGCAGCAGUGAGGAAUAUUGCACAAUGGGCGAAAGCCUGAUGCAGCGACGCCGCGUGGGUGAAGAAGGUUUUCGGGAUCGUAAAACCCUUUUCUGUGUGACGAGCAAGGACGGUAGCACAGGAAUAAGUCUCGGCUAACUACGUGCCAGCAGCCGCGGU
This 469-nucleotide ribosomal RNA is filed under the name uncultured bacterium. RNAcentral's name for it is "bacterial SSU rRNA". It matches the Rfam family "Bacterial small subunit ribosomal RNA", at positions 28 to 521 of the family's 1533-position model. The record is from RNAcentral.